UCAGGAUGAACGCUAGCUACAGGCUUAACACAUGCAAGUCGAGGGGCAGCAUUGGGAUAGCUUGCUAUUCAGAUGGCGACCGGCGCACGGGUGAGUAACGCGUAUCCAACCUUCCUGCCAGUAGGGAACAGCCCGGCGAAAGUCGGAGUAAUGCCCUAUGUUCUUCAAUGCGGACAUCUAAGUUGAAGGAAAGAUUCAUCGCUGGCAGAUGGGGAUGCGUCCGAUUAGCUUGCCGGCGGGGUAACGGCCCACCGGGGCGACGAUCGGUAGGGGUUCUGAGAGGAAGGUCCCCCACACUGGUACUGAGACACGGACCAGACUCCUACGGGAGGCAGCAGUGAGGAAUAUUGGUCAAUGGGCGUAAGCCUGAACCAGCCAAGUAGCGUGCCAGGAUGACGGCCCUACGGGUUGUAAACUGCUUUUAUGCGGGGAUAAAGUGCGGCACGUGUGCCGCUUUGCAGGUACCGCAUGAAUAAGGACCGGCUAAUUCCGUGCCAGCCGCGGC
RNAcentral lists this ribosomal RNA (505 nucleotides) under uncultured bacterium. RNAcentral's name for it is "bacterial SSU rRNA". It matches the Rfam family "Bacterial small subunit ribosomal RNA", at positions 24 to 518 of the family's 1533-position model. The record is from RNAcentral.